RNAcentral lists this ribosomal RNA (516 nucleotides) under uncultured bacterium. RNAcentral's name for it is "partial 16S ribosomal RNA". It matches the Rfam family "Bacterial small subunit ribosomal RNA", at positions 28 to 523 of the family's 1533-position model. The record is from RNAcentral.
GACGAACGCUGGUGGCGUGCCUAAUACAUGCAAGUCGAGCGAACUUGAUGAGAAGCUUGCUUCUCUGAGAGUUAGCGGCGGACGGGUGAGUAACACGUAGGCAAUCUGCCUGUAAGACUGGGAUAACUACCGGAAACGGUAGCUAAUACCGGAUAGGUGAUUUUCUCGCAUGAGGAAGUCAAGAAAGACGGAGCAAUCUGUCACUUACGGAUGGGCCUGCGGCGCAUUAGCCAGUUGGUGAGGUAAUGGCUCACCAAGGCGACGAUGCGUAGCCGACCUGAGAGGGUGAACGGCCACACUGGGACUGAGACACGGCCCAGACUCCUACGGGAGGCAGCAGUAGGGAAUCUUCCGCAAUGGACGAAAGUCUGACGGAGCAACGCCGCGUGAGUGACGAAGGUGUUCGGAUCGUAAAGCUCUGUUGCCAGGGAAGAACGUCUUAGAGAGUAACUACUCUAAGAGUGACGGUACCUGAGAAGAAAGCCCCGGCUAACUACGUGCCAGCAGCCGCCGUAA